This 3183-nucleotide long non-coding RNA is filed under the name Patiria miniata (bat star). RNAcentral's name for it is "uncharacterized LOC119732951". The record is from RNAcentral. Lineage: Eukaryota; Metazoa; Echinodermata; Asteroidea; Valvatida; Asterinidae.
UACUAUUGUAUUGGCCCAGAUUGCUUUGGUUUUGGGCACAUCAUCUGACCACACCCCACUGUCGCCUCCACCACCAGCAACAAAAGCAUCGCAUGCUCGAGGUUUGCGCCAAGCACAACCUGAAGAUCCUGGGCACCUGGUUCCAGCACCGGCAGAUCCAUCGACCACCUGGUACAGUAACACCGGCACUGCGACAAUCGAUCACAUCCUGGUCAGCAGAACAUGGAGGGUCACCUCCGAUUAUCGGGAUUUUUCGCAGCGCUGGCUGGGCAACGUUGUCUCCUUGCUGCCCCCCCCCCUCAUCUUCACCUCUGCACGAACACUCCUCCAGGCACCACCUCUUGACGUCCUCCCAAUGUUGACAAGCUCCUCAACCCACUCUACGCCCACCGCUACUCAGCCGAUGUCUCUAAUCGCUUUGCUGCCCCAGAGUCUCGAGGAUGACUGGGACCAGAUUCACGCAACCCUUAUCCAGUGGCAUCAGAAGUGCUUGGAGUACACCCUCCUUUAAUAGGAAGAAGCCUUGGAUAUCAGAUGCUCCCACGGUCCUUGUAGACCGCUGCCGGCAAACCAGACAUCAUAGAUCUAUGGAAGUCUACUGCAAGCUGAGCAGGUAAAGAAGACGAAGACGAAGUUAACACAGCUGAAGAUAGCUUUCAGUCGGGGAAUCUUCGACCAGCUUAUAAGUCCACCAAGGAGGUCUACCAGGCUGGCACUCUACACCAAUUGUCCCCCUGCUCCCUGGCGAUGGCACCCAGCUUUAAUACAAAGCCUCAGCCAAGCUACAAUGCUGCUGUCAACUCUACUCCAUUGUCCUCUGCAAGCCUUCACCUCCAUCUUACAGGCUGCAGAUGUUUGCCAAUUCAGGUAUUGUGGAUGACUCCAUUUUGCUUGUACCACCCUCACUAAAUGAUAUCGCAGACGCCAUUAGGAAGCUCCCAACCGGUAGAGCCCCAGGCGCCAACAGCAUUUCUGGCAAAAUGCUAAUGAAGGCGGCAAUUGAUCUGAUCGAUCCUCGGCUACAACAGCUGUGCUGCCAUUUCUGGAAAGAAGAGUGAGUCAUGGCCGAGUGGAAGGAAAGUCAUACACUCAUUCUACAAGAACAAGGAAGACCAGCAAAAUACUUCGAGCUAUCGUCUCAUCACAUUGCUCUCUGUGCUCUCUAAGGUUAUCGUGACCAUCAUUCUCAGACGAAUCCAACCUCUACUGCUAGCCAAAGUUUGCCAAACGUCGCCCUCAACAAGCCAGCUUCACGCCACAAAUUGCUCCACCACAGACUGCAUCCUAGGGCUGGGAGUCCUGGCACAAUAAUGGAGGUCAUAUUGCCAGCCGCUGUACACACAGUCUACAUAGAUCUUAAGGCAGCCUUUGAUUCCCUGGAUAGAAACGUCCUCUGGCUCUUUCUCCAGGGUAUCAGAGUCCCUUUUAAGUACAUCCGUUUCCUGCGGGACCUCUAAACCAACACUUUCUGCAGGGUGCAAGCUGAGGGUGGCAUAUCGGAUCCCUUACCAACUACAUGUGCAUCAGGAGUCAGACAGGGCUGUGUUGCCGCACCAAUCCUCUUCAAUGUUGCGGUCGACUACUGCCUGGACAGCUUGAUGGAACGCUGCCCCCAAAACUUGGCGUUGACUACCACUACCAACUCACCGACAUAUGCUAUGCGGAUGAUGUUGUGCUGUUUGCCAUGCUGCUGGACAUCUUGGUUGAGGCUCUGGAGAUUCUCGAUGAGGAAGCCUCGCCCCUGGGUCUCACCAUUAGCUGAAUCAAGACAAAAGUUCAGUAGAUCAAUAUCAACACCAAGCAGGUUGAAGUGGUUGCAGUGGAAUCUGAUUGCUCAUCAGAUUGCCGCCUUCAACUGGCCAGAAGAACCUUCGGUCAUUUCACCCGUGUAUGACGAAGCAGCAAAAUCUGCACAACCACCAAAAUUUGCAUCCUGAACACCUACGUCCUCCCUGUUCUCCUCUACGGCUGCGAAUCAUGGUCCCCUCCACCACAACCAAUCGCUGCCUUGAUGCCUACCACCAGUCUUGCCUACGCUACAUCCUUGGAACCUACUGGUGCCACCACAUCACCAACGACGAGGUCUAUGCUAGAGCGGGUGCCCCCACACCCCUGUCCACCACCACUCUGAGAAGCAGACUGUGACUACUGGGACAUGUUGCGCGAUCCGGCGACAGAGUCUCGGCAAAGCGUGUUCCGAGUGCAGCAUCCCAGCCAGCCCCAGAGAGCUGGCGUCGCACCCCCCCCCCCCCCCCCCUGACGCCCCCACAUCACCUGGGCAUCUCAAGUCGCAGCGAGGUGCCCACUGGACGACCUCCUCACCCUAGCCCAAGAUCAACUAGCCUACAGACAUCUUGAAGUGGCCACGUGACUUCAAGUACAUCUCUUGAGUCAGCUUUCAUAACUCGGCCAUAACAUUGAGAAACAAGUAGCACGCCAAGGUCUUCAGUUUUCACCUCUGAGAAGAUGAUGGUAUCCGUUGCUUCCGACAUUCACCAAAAGAUAACUAUGGCAGCAUCAUAGGGCGAGCAGUCUGGGCCAUAGCGUUUGAGAAACAUCUGACACACUGAGAUCUUCAUCUUUGACCUUUCACCUCUGAGAAGACAACAGCACCUUUCGCUUCCAACGUUCACCAGAUAUAACCAUCCCAGGGAGUCGCAUUUGAUUUGCAUCAGAAUCACCGGUUUCCUGCACGAUGAGCAACAGUUAUUGGGAGGACACGGGUGUGUUCUUUACCUAUUGGAUACAAACCGUAAGUUAAAACAUGAAUUAUAAGUAUAGUAAAUAAAGGAUUAAAGCAGAGUGAUGUUGAGGACCUAAAGAAAUACCAGUAAAGCUCAAGUAAUUGUACAUAGGUUUUGAUAUUUUUAAGGCGAGCAUCAGACUAACUUUAUUCACCACACUUUUCUCUUCACACAGCUCUUUUCUUUGUUAUUUCUCAUUUAGGUUGAACUUCUAAUUUGAAUUUUUACUUCACAUUUCUCCGAUGCUCAAGUAAUUUGUGUACAUUAAACUCUGUCACUAUAUGCUUCAAUUCACCUCAUUUCUCCAUUAAUUGACUUCUUCACUUCAAUAUUCACUUCAGGUGUCACCUUUGUGUAACCAUGCACUUGCCUCACAUUUAAGCUCACAACUGAACAGCCAGCUGAACAUCACUCACCUUGUACGGAGUUGCACCAUUUU